This is a non-coding RNA of Pelodiscus sinensis (Chinese soft-shelled turtle), 6028 nucleotides long. The record is from RefSeq and is a predicted model, not a curated record. NCBI's taxonomy places the organism in Eukaryota, Metazoa, Chordata, Testudines, Trionychidae.
CUUGCGGCUGGCCUGGGCGGGGACCCCCGGCCCCCUGCUGAGAUCCCCUGGAUCCCUUCUCCCCCGGCUCAGCCAUGAUUUUACUGGGCAGCUUGUUGCACCUGUACAGCAGGCAAUGCGGCCCCUUCGCAGCCCUCCGGCUGGGCCGGGCUCCCCGCUCGGGAGCCAGGUCCUGCAGUGCCCGCUGCAGGCAUCUGCGCGUCUUGGUGGACAUGGAUGGGGUGCUGGCGGACUUUGAAGGAGGAUUCUUAAAGAAGUUCAGGGCCAGGUACCCAGAGAAGCCGUACAUUGCCCUGGAGGAUCGCAGGGGUUUCUGGGUGUCGGAGCAGUAUGGCCAGCUGAGAUCCGAGCUGAGUGAGAAAGCAAUCAGCAUAUGGGAGUCAGAGAACUUCUUCCUUGAGCUGGAUCCGAUCCCAGGGGCUGUGGAAGCCGUGAAGCAAAUGGCUGAAUUGGAGAACACUGACGUCUUCAUCUGCACAAGCCCGAUCAAGAAGUACCGGUACUGCUGUUAUGAGAAGUACGCCUGGGUGGAGAAGCAUUUGGGCCAAGAAUUUCUGGAGCAUAUUGUCCUAACGCGAGAUAAAACUGUGAUCUCUGGCGAUCUGCUGAUAGACGAUAGACCCGAUAUAACAGGAGCCGAGCCGAGCCCCAGCUGGGAGCACGUCCUCUUCACUGCCUGUCACAAUAAGCACCUGCAGCUGCAGCCGCCCAGAAGGAGGCUCCACUCGUGGGUCGAGGACUGGAGGGCCAUCCUGGACAGCAAACGGCCGCCGCGCAGCCGGGCCAUUUAAUGUGACGGGCUCCUCAGCUGCACGGAGCCUCGGCGUGCUCUGUGGUGCCCAGCUCCCAGCUGGAAACCACGGACAGAAAGCCGUGCGCGGCAGGGGGAGGAGAGAGACCCCUGGCAGGGAGCGAUUGCAGCAGCUCCGACCCCAGAGAACAGGGCCAAAGGGGGAUCGUGUUCGUUAAGACGCCUGUGACCGGGCCACCAUGAAGCAAGGGGCUGCAGGAAGGAUUCUGGGCCCAUCCCAUGACAGGACGCCCUGUCUGGCAUGUGUCCCUUUGCGCCCAGCUCUGUUUAUCUCAGUGGCUUCUGAGUGUUGGUGAUCGUACCCACUGGGGACACCAAUUGUGAUGUCACUGACAGACUCAGCUCGUUACCUGCCAUCCCCUGCACCUGCUUAGAGAUGCAGAUUAACUUUUAAAUACUCCCCGUCCCCCAGUCUCCAUUGUGUUGGGUCACUGGAUCAGCAGCCAGCUCUGUGCUGACAUAGGCCCAAGAAGACUAUCAAAAUCCUUCCUCCUCCAUCCAUCCAGACACAGGGGGCCGGUCGUCCUAACCCUCCUAAUCCUCAUUUUUUUGGCUCACCUGCUGUUACCACUCCAUGGGAAGCAUCUUUGUGCAGCAGCGUUUGAUCGGCUAAUGAUGGAGAAGGCGACUUUUCUUCCCUGCAGUGAAUGUGCCUCCCGGAACAGCCUUGCAGGAGCUCGUGUGGGAGCAUUGUUAAACCAGAUUCUUGCGGGCAUGAUCCCCACCCCCCCACCAGCCCAGAGUUCACGUCUGGCACAAAUAGAUUCCAAGGGAAAGGCUGCCUCACAGGGUCACCUGCGCAGAAUCCCAGCCUGUCCCAAGGGGGAAGGAGGAUUCUGCAAACAUGCGAUGCAAAAGAUGGACCGUGGCAGGGGUCAGAGAGCAGCGAAGGCCUCAGAGGGGAAGGACCAGCAUCCAAAAUGGCAGCCUGUGGGGCCCAAGCCAGCUGGAUCCAUGCCGGGGCUGAGUACCCAUGUGAGCAACCAGCAAGAAGAAUGGCCCAGCGUUGAUGUGCCUGGGAUGCUGUUCCCCCGCUUUGGCUCUGGCAGUCGUGUCAGGGCGAGGGGCAUGUGAACAGGGCCAGUGUUAGGAUUUGGGGGGGUGACCCCUGAAACUUUAGUCUAAACUCAACCUCCUCUUACCCAUGUAGUCUCCUCCUCAAGGGCGUACUAUGGUUCUGCCGUGGCUCUCCUCCUAGAACAUGAACAGAGCCACACAAUGGUGCCUGAAAUUCGGAGUGUUUAACGAUCCUGCAGACUGGGCUUGUGAACAUCCGGGUCCCGUUACUGCUUCGAGGUCAGGGGCAACCCCACUUUGAGCAUCGGGCGUCUGUGUCAGCGCUGCUACGCUCAGAGGAUCAGAGGUGCUGGACCCAGGGGUGCAGCUGUCCUCCCUCCCCCGGCUUGAAGUGUUUCCAUCAUUCACAGGGUUUCAGCAGGGCUCAGUGACGCUCAGCACCCCUGCUAGAUGCAUUGUUCCAGCACUCGGCAAUAGUCCAGAUGUGGAAUACAUUUUACGUGCACGGAGGCCUGGGCAGAUGUGCACCACCAGGAGAAACACAAACCACGCGGUGGGGGCUCUGCUAACCAGCAGGGGCAGCCUUUGACUUUCCCCUGAGCGGCUGCACACACGUACAGCUUACAGGGAACACCGUGUAGACUAGUUCCACCACUUCCCGUCCCCAAAACCCACAUGGGGGGGAAGGGGAGGGGACAGGAGCUAAGCUGAAAGACAUUGCAGUAGCCACCAUUCAUCGUGGGCGCCUGAGUGUGUUCUUUGGCACUGAAGUACUGACCAGCCGCAGCAUUCGGCCGGCCUAGUGACCAUAGGCAUUGAGCAAGCCAGAGCCGUGGGCCUCACCACUGGAGUUCCACAGCAGAAUGGACAGAAUCUGCCAUUGUGGUUGGAAGAUCAAAAAGCUCAAGCUGUGUGAGUCCGUCCCUCUCCUCCCAGCCUCCGACACCAGAGAGCAGAGGGUCCUGCCGACCGGUGCUACAGCCCUGCUGCUCUUCAGAGAGGGGCUUCGUUGGGUGGUGCAGAAGCCCUUUCUCUGUGUGCCCAGAGCGUAGAUUAGCACUCCUGAGACCCACGGGCACUGCCUCCUGCUAGCAGAGUCCAGCCCGCCCGCCGGCCCCCACAAUCCUCUCCGCACUGCAAAGAAGAAUUUGCUCUCCUACCCCAGCAACAGGCUUUGGGGUUUCCCUGCACUGAAGGCUCCCGGGCAGGAGGGAAGCCACAUGUUUCUAAACUCUUGGCCCGUUGCCUACAGCAAUAGCUCUUCCCUGCCAUCGGUCUUCACACAGCUGGAGUCCCCUGCUCUCUCCUGAGCAAAGCUGUGAAAAGCAGGCGAAGCCCGACGCCCCGAGGUACGUCAAUAAGCUGUGAAUGUUGUGCCGAUGGCGUUAGUGCUUCGCAAGAUUUCCAGGACCUGGACGUUGUGCUGAACAAAGAUGGGGCUGUAGGAUUUUGCCCUUUCUCCGCUUUCACCACUGGGACCGAACCCCAAACGGCUCGCCGUGAGGAUUUUGAGCAUGCGUCUCUUGGGGUUUGGGCCCCUGACUGCAGUGGGAGGGAGCUGCAGGGCUUGGGCCAGGUUGGAUGUGCUGCAUCCUGAAAGGGCUGUCUGAACGUGUCAACCACUGUGCCCCUGCUUGGGGUGAUCAGACGGGUAUUGUAGUGGCCCGGGGCACAGGGAGAGGGAGCUGAAAAUAGGCUGGUUUGACGCUGCUGAACUUCUUGGGACUCAAGGCUUGGAACCCUGAAGGGCUACAGGAGACGGGGGCAGCCAGCGAAGCGCAGCGGAGGAGCAAAGCUGGUGGGACCAUGGAUGACACUGCCCCACUCUAGUUACCCACCUGCCAAGGGCAUUACAUUGUUUCCAACCCUCUGUGUGUUUUGUUGAUUGGUCCACUUCUCCCUCUCCUACCCCUCUGCUCCUCUGGGUAAGGCUGUUUUCAGAGCCAGCCUGCGGUUACAGCUGCUGUACGGCAUUGUGACCCUAGCAGGGGCUGGAUUGGAUGUUGCGCUAGGCUGUGCAUGUCUCAGAGGGGCAGCCAUGUUAGUCUGUAUCUGCAAAACUGAGGAGUCCUGUGGCGCCUUAGAGACUAACCCAUUUAUCUGGGCAUCCUCUUUUGUGGGCAAAGACCCACUUCGUCAGAUGCCUGGAGUGGAAAUCUGAGGCAAGUUUAAAUAUCGUCGCACAUGAAAAGAAGGGAGUUGCCUUCUCGAGUGUAGGCCAGUGGUAAAGAGGUCGAUUCAGUCUGUGUAAAUGUGGCUCACUCCCAACAGGUGUGACUACCUAGAGAGAGAAAAUUGCUUUUGCAGGGCACCAGCCAUUCCCGGUCCCUAUUCAGCUAGACUCCUCAUUGGUUAGGCUGUGCAUGCCGUUUGGCCUUUUCAUUGGUUCUUUUUUCCACAUUUGAGGGUGGUAAUAUGAAGCAUGACAUCAGCAAAGCUCAUUCAGGUUGGACCUGCUCUGCAGCGUUGGCACUUGGAAGAGGAGGAUGCGUUUCCAGGGCUAACAGCCCUGUCCUCUUUCUCACACACCUACGCACACAUAUCCAUCUACCCCUGGCUAUAAGCUGAAUUGUUUGGACUGUAUUCUCAUGUGGGUAAAUCAGCACAGACCCAGUGAUCUUAAGGAGGCAAAGCCAAUUUAUACCAGCUGAGGAGCGGGUCUUUAAAAUGAUUAAAUUACUUUGCUGCGAUGUGGCGAAACUUUUUUCAAGGUUUAUAUAACAGAUUCACUCAGGAUCAUUGCCCUCCGUAGUUGGUUUUGUUGUCACUGCAGUUUAUAUGAAAUAGGGGUUUAAUAUUCCUGGUGCCACAGUAAAUGUGAGAGAGGGGAGAUUUUACCUCUAGGACUCUGGAGAGGGGCCAUGGGGCACAGUAGCAUGCUACUGAUUAUUCCUGCUUUCUUUUGGAAACUACAUCACAGUCCAACUGAUGGAAUCCCCAUGAACAGAAAUAGGGCUGGUAGGAAGCUAUGAUUUCUGGCCAGUGUCUUGCAAAUAUUAUUGUCAGCAAACCAGUAAAACACAGCAGUAUGUCAAGGAAGAUCGUUCCAGACCGCCGAUGAGCGAAAAGCACUAGAAACCAUGUCUUGUUAUGGAAGAGAGGCACAUAUAAUAUGACAUCGAGGUAGGCAAUGCACUCUCCUGCUAACGUUAUGGAGUUAAUUGUCCCCUGGGUUGUAUUCCUAGUUAUCUGGCUGUCUAGGGUUUCAUACCUUAUCUGUUACUGGGAUAGCAGAACGUCUCUGACACAGACUCACCGGAUGACCUUGAGCAGAUCACUUGUUUUGUGCCGCAUUUUCCUCAUCGGUAAAAUUUAGAUCAUCCCACCUAUUUCCAAGUGGUGUUGUGAGGAGGAGCUGGACAGCAUCAUGUGUUUCAAGAGCCUUAGUGAGAGCAUGCUGUGUAAGUUAUCAUUAAUGAAGUGCUUCCCCUUGGGUAGGCACAGGAGUCCAGCUGGGGCAGAAUGGCAAUUUUAGGGCACAGUCCAAGGGUAUUGUGGAAAUUUUGAUCUUUACAGAAAAUGCUUCUCUGAGCAUCAAAGGUCAGGACCAGAUGAUCUCCCCUCACCCAAAUCCGGAGGCCUUUUGGUUGUUCCAUCUAGUCCCCAGAAUUGGGUGGGAAGGUGUAGAACGUAUUGUGUGUAUCCUACAUGGCAUCUGCUGGAUCCAGCUGCCAUCCCUGAAGACAGAGAGUGGGCGAAACGUUCUCUCCUAGCCUGCUGAAAUGAGGAGACGUGGCAACUGGGGGCCCUCUGAGCCAAUCAGGCACAUCCCAAGGAGUGCUAAGGCCCGAAGACCGAAUCUGGAAGGUUUUCGCUGCCUGACAGAUGCAGCAUGAACCUGCUCCCACGCCGGUGGAGGAGACCCCUGGAAAGACGUGCCCCACAGCCUCGCUGCUCAGCCAGGCCCCAGGGAGUCUGUCUCACGUGAUGAGAAACGGGAUUUGCUUGUAAAACUGAAGGGUGGUGCUUCUGCUCAUGCAUGAGCUGGUGGUUGUUCCUCCAGGCUGACAGGGCAUGGAGCGUGAACCCUUGUGUUGAUCUGACUGGCCUGGAGGAAGAGCAGGAGGAGGGGGGGAGCCCUCUUUCGGGGUUUCCUGGUCAAUGGACCCACCGGGGCAGUUAACAAAGUUCCCCUCUGAAACGGGCGGGUCUACAUGCGUGUCCACAACACAGAAGCUGCUAGCACCUUGACACUGGACC